This 197-nucleotide unclassified non-coding RNA is filed under the name plant metagenome. Its description in RNAcentral is "partial contains small subunit ribosomal RNA, internal transcribed spacer 1, and 5.8S ribosomal RNA". The record is from RNAcentral.
UCUCCGUUGGUGAACCGGCGGAGGGAUCAUUACCGAGUGCAAACUCAUAACCCUUUGUGAACCUAUAUCUGUUGCUUCGGCGGCUCGCUCUCGGGCGAGCCCGCCGGUAAUAUCAGUAUCUCUGUUUGAACCCGACGAUACUUCUGAGUGUUCUUAGCGAACAGUUAAAACUUUUAACAACGGAUCUCUUGGCUCUA